UUGUGACACAAACUGUAUCAUGUCUUGGCUUUCCAACUUGGUCCAGAACAGUAACAAAGCCAUUCCUCAAUGUCUUCCUGUAGGAUUAUUUCCACCGUGUUCAGAAAACUCCACAACUUGCAGUGUCUGUGCAACUUCUUCUUUUCUAGUACCAUCUGUUUUCAUUGGUGUCAAGAGGCAGAAGCGUCCAUGAAAGGCUGAUUUGCCUCCUAUGUGUGAAGAAGCACAGAACAGGUUCUUGGAGACAUGGAGGAUGAAAGAAAUCAAUAGACAGCACAACACUCAGCAUCAAACACAAACACUACUACUAAAGACAAUCUCUCCGAGACUGCUGUGACCCUGAGAUGACCAUAGUCAGUUAUUGUUCCUUCAUCUCCAUUGAGGGGAUAAGACCAACACUGAAUUGAUUCAGUCUUCACAAACUGGAGAUAGCCAUUGAUUUUCCCUCUUCUUUUCAAAAAACAGAGAGGAGCCAAUAGGUGAGCAGCUGCAGGCCCAGUGGGAGGAGCUGAUCGCAGGUCCAGUGAUAUUAUCUGGGGUCAGAAGUGAAGAACCAGGAUAUUGACCAUGCCAGUUCAGUUCUGCUUGGCUGCGCUCUGCAGAGAUGUUGGGACUGUCAGAGGAAAUAUACGGUCCUUGUCUGGAACCCAGGUGUGCUGAGGCAAAGUGUUAAAUUUGGUCAUUACUCUUGUAAUAGUGCUUCUGUGUUUCCUUCGCAAAGGGGUCAUGUGUGGGACUGCCACAACAGGGCUUUGUUUGAAAAGUUUGCAGACAUAGAUAUAGGUAGUAUCGCUUUUCAGGAGGAUUGUAUUAAAACUGCCACUAUGAAGAACAGUCAUUCCAGGUGUAAUAUAGAUCCUGUUAGAGAUCCACAACAUUUUAAAGAACACAGGGAACAUUGAGGUUGAAAUACUGAGGAUUUACAUGGAUAACUAAUAUGAGAAAAUAUCAUUAAAUCUAGGCUUUUCAGAUAAACCUUAUCUACAUGCAUUUUCUCUGCAUGUGCAUCUGCACAUUUGUUUACAUGCAGCAACAUAUGCAUGCAUGUGUUGAUUUGUCUGUGCAGACUAGGCUGGAGGCAGGGCUGGGGGGAGGAGCCGGUGUUUCUAACGGCUUUUUGAUGCAGAUAAAUGGCUUACAGAUGGCUCACUCAAUAUAUUCAAAUGAGUUAUGAAAAUAGACGACGGGCUUUUAUUAGAGGGAUGGUUCUUGUUGACAGAUGCAAUGAAACUGACAACACUUUUCUUGCUCUGAUAGAUGACAAUUGUUUGUUUUUCUACAUAGGAAGUACUUUUUGAAUCAUGUUUAUGGUUGAAUCUUUUUUAUAUUUGAGAAAUGUUAGCAAGUAAUCAGAAUGAAAUUCUUGAAUUUAUCAACUGCAACACUGGAUGGGUUAUUAACGUAGAUAAGUAUUUUUCCUGAUGUCAAUUUAAACUAAUAAUGACCUUAAGCUAAUAUUUGAAAGGAGUUAUAAAACAUGCAAAAAAGUUUUGUAUAUUGUCAGUGUGAAAUGUAUUGUGUUCAUUGUAAGUGGAGUAUGCAUUAAUCCGUCUACUAACUGGACACAAUUUUUGAUGUGGAAUAUUUUCAAAGAUGAUGUGUGUCAGUAAGUGUAAUUGAAAGCUUUUUUUUAACCCUUUACAACUAGAUUAAAUUAAUAGUCAGAUCUAGAAUUGCUAAAAGGUUCUAAUGUUGGGAUGGCACUUACUGUCAGCAUUUUCAUUUGUAUCAGUCUUAGAAAUAGAGUAUUGCAUCAAAGAUUAUUACUCAUCUAUCUUACUAAUCACCUGGCUGUGUUAGAUACUUGGUUCUGAUUGGUUGAAACCCCUUAACAGCAGUUAUCAAUUCUGAAUAGUAGAGGGGACGCCAGUGACAACUUGAUCACCAUCACACAUGUCAAAUCAAUGUACGAAAAGAAGCACAUCCACUGAGUUUCAUUUCAUCGCCUCCUGUUGACAAUCUGAUAAAAUUGUUACUUUCUGUCUGCAUUAGUAAGCAAAACAGAGUUAAAUUCAGCAAGGGAUGAAAUAAAAAAAAGAAAUUAAAGAAAACAGCAACACAGUACAGAUUUUGGUAGUGUUACUGGACAGGCUGAGAAAAGACAACACAAACAAGGGGAAGGGGAAGAGGACCUUGUACAGGUGCUUUUGUUAUUUUCUGUAUCUGUUAAGAAUGCCAUUUUCAGCGGACCCUUUAUC
Molecule: long non-coding RNA, 2198 nt
Organism: Notolabrus celidotus (New Zealand spotty)
Lineage: Eukaryota; Metazoa; Chordata; Actinopteri; Labriformes; Labridae
Exons: 3
Source: RefSeq, a predicted model, not a curated record